This 265-nucleotide long non-coding RNA is filed under the name Sorghum bicolor (sorghum). RNAcentral describes it as "long non-coding RNA (SBIC_LNC011939)". Lineage: Eukaryota; Viridiplantae; Streptophyta; Magnoliopsida; Poales; Poaceae. The record is from RNAcentral.
GCCGCCGCCCGCCGCCGUCUCCACCGCGACGGUCGCCGCAACUACACCCCUGGCUCCGUCCCCGUCUCCGCUCCCGCGAGUCGGCACAGCCAACGCCUACAUCAACCCUCGCCUCGCGGCCGCCGCAGGCGGCGGCGGAGACAACGCCUACAUCAACCCUCGCCUCGCGGCCGUCGCAGGUGGCGCCGGGGACAACGCCUACAUCAACCCUCGCCUUGCGGCCGCCGUAGGCGGCGGCGGGGACGACGCGCGCAAGGUGCUCGAC